AGUCGAGCGGUAACAGGUGUAGCAAUACAUGCUGACGAGCGGCGAACGGGUGAGUAAUGCUUUGGAAUCUUCCCAGUAGUGGGGAACAACCAGUCGAAAGAUUGGCUAAUACCGCAUACGUCUGUGAAGAGAAAGCGGGGGAUCGUAAGACCUCGCGCUAUUGGAUGAGCCAAAGUCGGAUUAGCUAGUUGGUGAGGUAAUGGCUCACCAAGGCGACAAUCCGUAGCUGGUCUGAGAGGACGACCAGCCACACCGGAACUGAGACACGGUCCGGACUCCUACGGGAGGCAGCAGUGGGGAAUAUUGGACAAUGGGGGAAACCCUGAUCCAGCGACGCCGCGUGUGUGAAGAAGGCCUGCGGGUUGUAAAGCACUUUUAGUGGGGACAAAAAGUCACGGGCUAAUAACUUGUGAUCUUGAUUUAACUCACAGAAAAAGCACCGGCUAACUCUGUGCCAGCAGCCGCGGUAAUACAGAGGGUGCGAGCGUUAAUCGGAAUUACUGGGCGUAAAGCGCACGUAGACGGUUUGGUAAGUCAGAUGUGAAAUCCCCGGGCUCAACCUGGGAACUGCAUUUGAUACUGCCUGGCUAGAGUAUCGAAGAGGGAAGUGGAAUUUCCGGUGUAGCGGUGAAAUGCGUAGAUAUCGGAAGGAACACCAGUGGCGAAAGCGACUUCCUGGUCGA
RNAcentral lists this ribosomal RNA (683 nucleotides) under uncultured Gammaproteobacteria bacterium. Its description in RNAcentral is "bacterial SSU rRNA". It matches the Rfam family "Bacterial small subunit ribosomal RNA", at positions 60 to 736 of the family's 1533-position model. Lineage: Bacteria; Pseudomonadati; Pseudomonadota; Gammaproteobacteria. The record is from RNAcentral.